This 24-nucleotide small RNA is filed under the name Arabidopsis thaliana (thale cress). RNAcentral's name for it is "ATSL061580". Lineage: Eukaryota; Viridiplantae; Streptophyta; Magnoliopsida; Brassicales; Brassicaceae. The record is from RNAcentral.
GUUUGUUUUUUCUUUUCUGUUCUU